GGCAUGAGUGAAGAGCGAAUCAUGCUUAGUUCUCAUAAGAAUAUGAUGUGUUUUAUUUGCUUUGAAUAUUAUUUAUUUUAUUCUGCUCAUAAGACUAACGCAAAGUUUUUCUUAAUAUUGUUUGGUUUAAAGGGCCUAUAGUGGUUCCAAGUUGUAGGUUGACUUUGUUUGACUUAGUUUGACUGUAAUUUCGUUUGGUUUGACUUUUUAAGUUGACUUGUUUUAAAUGGUUUAUAAAGAUAGUCUUCCGCUUUGUGUGAGUCUUUGAUAUUUGCCUUAGCCGUUUUCACGGUGGCAGUAAUGUCUUAGAUUUUCCUAUUUCAUAUUUUUAAAAGGGUAAAAUGGGUAUUUUAACGGAAAGGAAUUUCUAGGGUGUUACAGCAAUUGAUAUGGAUGAUCGAUUCCUUGUACAAUGAUUCGUAGUCAACACAUGAGACCAUUGUCUCUCAGCUGAUGAAGGCCUUAGGGGAGUUGGUGCAUCUUAGUGAUCCUACCUGGAAGGUGGGUACAAUUUCAAUUUGGCUGAGGAGGUCGUUUCCUGUGCAACAGUCAGACACGUGCUCGAGUGGUGCAAUUAUGCUAGCAACUAUUAAACAUUGCGCACGUAGCUUUGAUGCAAAUUUUCAAAUGGACAAAAUAUCCACCCUGAGGACCAAUUUAUUUCUGCAAGAUGUUUACAGCGAUUUCAACCAGCAGAAGCCUCAUUUGGAGGAUGUCUUGCCAAAAGAUCAACGAGGCAGUAGGAGGACUGGUUCUCAAAUGACUUCGUAGGGGUCCCGCUAAACAAAACUAACUUGUAGAGGCGUCUUAAGACCUAUCAAUUUUUUUCUUAACUAUUUAUAAUGUGUCUCAUAUACAUUUGCCCAUACUUUUAGCAUCACAUAACAUUGAAGGGGUACCUUCAAUUGGUGCACAAUGGUUGAGUUAUUGUGGUUUUUCAGCAGUAUGCAGCAAAUGAAUUAGGUUGCAAAGUUGUAAACAAUGAUGUGACGGGUCCUUGUUGAAUUUCUAGAUGCUAAAUAUAAGUUUUUUUUUUUUAUGCAAAUUAGAAGCAUUUAAAAGAAAAUUAGUUCAUAAUGUCCAAUUU
Long non-coding RNA from Chenopodium quinoa (quinoa), 1087 nucleotides. RefSeq lists it as uncharacterized. The transcript has 4 exons. Lineage: Eukaryota; Viridiplantae; Streptophyta; Magnoliopsida; Caryophyllales; Amaranthaceae. The record is from RefSeq and is a predicted model, not a curated record.